This is a non-coding RNA of Paramuricea clavata, 1379 nucleotides long. The record is from the annotation of a GenBank genome assembly. Lineage: Eukaryota; Metazoa; Cnidaria; Anthozoa; Malacalcyonacea; Plexauridae.
UUUAUAAUCUCUAUGGUACUGUGAUCAUGGACACAAUCAUGGAUUUGUAUUUUUUAAAAAAGCAUUUUUUAUUUGGAUUUCAAACCAUACGGAUUUAGAAAAACCAAAUUACUAAUGGUAUUAAAGGAAAUGGAGAAAAAUUUUGGUUUAAUUGUACGAUAGUAAUGAAUAAGGGUUUAGUUCUGGUUAAAGUUUUGGGGAUACGUUGCUUGUAUGCUUAUCCAUCUUGCUCCUUAUGUCACAAGAAAGUUCGCAAAUUAAACGACCCAGACGGAAGGUAAGCAUUCGAAUAAUGAUAUUUUUAUUUAUAAAGAUUGCCAUGUGAUUGUGUCAAAUUAACAUUUAAUUAAUUCAGCGAAUGUGGUACUGGUUUGAAUAUUUUUAUUGGAGGUUGAGAAGUGGCGGAGAAUUUAAAUUUUAAUAAACAAGUAAGGUCGCUGUGAUUUUCCACAGUCAAGGGUAACACCGGUCAUUUUCUAGUCCAGUGAUUUUGUACUUGACUGCCCAGUCAAUACACACUUCCAGCGAGCAUUAUAGAGCCUCGCUCUCAUGAUUGUGAUGCUUGGCUUUAACUAAAUGUCACUUACCCAAAAACGAGGGUCUAUAUAUAUAGUAGAGGUGUGCAAAUACAAUUCGAAUUCAGAUUUCAGAACAAAAAUAUUCAUUUCGUAUUGGAUUGGAUUGAUAAAAUUGUUUCGUAGUUGGAUCGGAUCGGACUUUGAUAUUCGAAAUAAAAUAAGUUAAUUAUAUAUAAUAAUUAUUUGGUUAAAUAUUCCCACUUGAAUGAGAAAUUUAUUUUAUUAAAGGAUUCUUCUGAUCGGAAUUUUUUAUCAAAACUCGGAUUGGAUUCAGAUUAGACAAUUUCGGAUCGGAUUGGAUUUUAAACAUUAGCCAAUUGUCGGAUUAUAAAUGUCCAAUCUGAUCCGAUGCACAUCUGUAGUCUACAGACUAUAGGUCCAAGCUGGUGACAUCAACCUCUCAUCGUUUGUCAGGGUUGUAUUGUAGCUAAUCCCUAAUGGCUAGGGGGAUGCAGAUGAAAAAUUUCUCUGAGUGGAGUCUAUAAAAUUUCAGAAUGGCAUCCUGAGAAUCUGCACAAUGUGUGAAGGCAUUAGAGGUCAUGGUGUUAGCAACCAUAGUGAUAACAUUUGUUCAGAUGAAUAUUUUUUUAGCCAUUGGUCCAAGGUGACAUCAACCUCUCAUCGUUUGUCAGGGCCAUAUUGUAGCUAAUCCCUGAUGCUGUGAGUGAUGGCUGGGGGGAUGCAGAUGAAAAAUUUCUCUAGUGGACAUCUAUAAAAUUUCAGAGUGGCAUCCUGAGAAUCUGCACAAUGUGUGAAGGCAUUAGAGGUCAUGGUGUUAGCAACCAUAACAUUUGUUCAGAU